RNAcentral lists this ribosomal RNA (419 nucleotides) under bacterium. RNAcentral's name for it is "partial 16S ribosomal RNA". It matches the Rfam family "Bacterial small subunit ribosomal RNA", at positions 355 to 776 of the family's 1533-position model. The record is from RNAcentral.
UGGGGGAUAUUGCACAAUGGGCAAAAGCCUGAUGCAGCGACGCCGCGUGGGGGAUGAAGGCCUUCGGGUUGUAAACUUCUUUUGCUCUGAACAAGGCGCACCAUGGGGUGUGUUGAGUGUAGGGGUUGAUUAGCGCCGGCUAACUACGUGCCAGCAGCCGCGGUAAUACGUAGGGCGCGAGCGUUGUCCGGAAUUAUUGGGCGUAAAGGGCUUGUAGGUGGCUGGUUGCGUCUGUCGUGAAAGCUCAUGGCUUAACUGUGGGUUUGCGGUGGGUACGGGCUGGCUUGAGUGCAGUAGGGGAGGCUGGAAUUCCUGGUGUAGCGGUGGAAUGCGCAGAUAUCAGGAGGAAUACCGGUGGCGAAGGCGGGUCUCUGGGCUGUUACUGACACUGAGGAGCGAAAGCAUGGGGAGCGAACAGG